UACUAUUUUAUAGCAAUUUAAAAAAAUAAAUUAGUAAAUUGUUUAACUUUUUUAUUGAAAAACCUCUCAAAACAGAUACAUUAAUUCUAUUUUGAAAAUUAGUCUAUACCGUUUGAAUUUUUUUUCUCUCAAAUUGCCUCCUUUUCUAGCAAAGAAAAUCUACAUUUUUAGAAAAACAAACGCCACGAAUUUAUUUUCUAAAGGAAAUUUCCUUCAAUUUUUUUGUUUUAAUAAAGUUUUGUAAAUUUUUAAACGGGGACCGUUGGAAGUCGAAGACGGCCUCCAUCCCAGAGGCAGUGUAGAGCUUUCAGAAGUAAAAAAUGGUUACUUUUAUUAUGAAACAUUUCUUUUUGAUUUUAAUCGUUACGUCUGACCUGCUUAAUGCGAUGUAGCUUUGGAUACGCAAUCGGAGUUGAUAAACAUUAAAGUGCGCUGGCCGUUGGUACGGUGAAAUUUGACAGGAGAGGAAUACAUUAUCUCAAUUGGCUCUACAAUGCUCUGCUUCAAUCAAGAUUUGUCAACUUAAUAGUUUUGUGCCCAGCAAAUGAUUGAACUUGUGUCCGCUUUUUUAUCGUACAGAUUGUGUCAAGAUUGAUGAUGGAAGGAAACAGCAUACUCCAAUAAAAACUAUUUAAAAAUAAACUUAUAUUAUGCUUCAGAA
Molecule: long non-coding RNA, 661 nt
Organism: Cimex lectularius (bed bug)
Lineage: Eukaryota; Metazoa; Arthropoda; Insecta; Hemiptera; Cimicidae
Exons: 3
Source: RefSeq, a predicted model, not a curated record